RNAcentral lists this long non-coding RNA (249 nucleotides) under Gossypium raimondii (Peruvian cotton). Its description in RNAcentral is "long non-coding RNA (GRAI_LNC008093)". The record is from RNAcentral. Lineage: Eukaryota; Viridiplantae; Streptophyta; Magnoliopsida; Malvales; Malvaceae.
UGCGCCAAGUACUGAACGUGGGGCGAUGUUGAAGCGUGGGUGAGGUUACCGCGGCUGCUGAUUUUGCUGCUAGGGUCUCUGUUUUGUGUUUUAGGCUAAUUGGGCCGUGUAAAGGAUUUUGGGCCCUGGGCAAUAAUUAGGUAUUACAACAAGGAAAAAGGCUUAUUUUCCGUUGACCUGUAAGUCAUUUUCCGUUGACCAAGCUGUUUUCUGUGAAACAAACAAAGGAAAAUGCAGAAAGCAUUUUCU